RNAcentral lists this unclassified non-coding RNA (1410 nucleotides) under Hevea brasiliensis (rubber tree). The record is from RNAcentral. Lineage: Eukaryota; Viridiplantae; Streptophyta; Magnoliopsida; Malpighiales; Euphorbiaceae.
CACAUCAUCAAGUAUGAGAAGAAAUCUUUUCAUGUUCAACUCUUUUUCCAGAUGUUUAAGUAUUGCAUCCUUGUUGGUCAUUCCACCUGUGUUUUUGUCAAGAGUUUGUAACAUUUCUCCUAAAAUUCUCUGCUCAUCAAAAUUAUCAGAAACACAGACCCACAUAGUUACAUCAUAAAGUUUCUUCUCCUUCACUGCUUUACACACCAAUUUUGCCACAGUUGUCUUUCCAAGACCAGCCAUGCCUACUACAGGAACAACAGUGAGAGGUUGAUUGCAGGAGCAGGUCAGUAAGUUCACAACUUUAUAGACAUCAUCUUCCCUUCCCACAACUUGGGAGUUAUCAAGGUAGGAGUCUGUCACUCGGUCCAGACUUAUUUGAGGCAACCUAUCCAUAACUUUAAGUCCAAAUUCAGCUGCUUCCUUCUUUAUUUUAUCCAAUGACCCAUUUAUAUUCUUCACCUUAUGGGACAUUUUGACAUGAAAUGCAGCCUUCUUUACAUAAUGAGUACCUUUAAAAAAUGAAAAGAAGUUGUGUACCUCAGUCUCUGUUUGAUUCUGGAUCUCCACUUUUCGUCGAAGAAUCUCAUAAGCAAACUCAUCAAGCACAUCUUCAGCAUCAUAGGCCAGAUCUUUGAGCUUUUUCAGCCAACGCUUCACAGCUUUCUGAGUAACCUGUUGCUCUUCUGCAUCUUGUAACACAUCACGAAUCAUGGCUAGUGACUCUUGAAGCUUUUCCAGGUCCUCCUUGAGAUUCCAUUGAAGGAUGAUCUCUUCAGUGAUAAGUGAAACCACCCUGGCUAGUGUUCCUUCCAAAAUCGUAAAGCUUGGUUAUGAAAUCAGGAAUGCUUUGAUUUCGGUACAUGCCUUGGUACCCAAUGCACAGUGCAUACAAGACUCAUAAGUGCUUCCCUGAGUAUAGCUGAUGCUGUUUGGAAUCUCCACAGGGCACAAACUGACAGUCCCUUAUAUAGGGUCGGGGGACAUCUAUCAAAGUCCCUGUUGAACUAGGAUUCUUUCUCGGAGUCCACUCGGCUUCGGAUUCUCACUCAGCGGUGUAAGUGUCUCGGAAUCCUGUCUGAGCAAGUGGAAUGGACCUCUAUGUUUGCCCGAGAACAGACAGUCGGUUUUUCGGGUAUUUUGGGCGAGCAGCAUAAAUACCCAAUAACAAUUGAUUAUCAUACAACAUGUCGCACAUGGUUCUUAAUUUGAAAAGUAUCGGAAAGGUGAAAUGUGCAAGCACACAAUUUGAAGAACUCUCUUGAGAAGCUUAAAAUGACUUCUGUUGGAAAAUUUGAGGUUUUAGAUAUCUGUAAUGGCCAGGAAAGUGAGAACCUGAACUUUCAGUCCCAAGGUUUUGAAGCAUUUCUUACAAAGAGCCUUGCAUGCCUGGAGAAUCUGCUCUUUGCG